GAUGAAGAACGCAGCGAAAUGCGAUAAGUAAUGUGAAUUGCAGAAUUCAGUGAAUCAUGGAAUCUUUGAACGCACAUUGCGCCCUCUGGUAUUCCGGAGGGCAUGCCUGUUCGAGCGUCAUUUCACCACUCAAGCCUGGCUUGGUAUUGGGCGCCGCGGUGUUCCGCGCGCCUCAAAGUCUCCGGCUGAGCUGUCCGUCUCCAAGCGUUGUGAUUUCAUUAAUCGCUUCGGAGUGCGGGCGGCCGCGGCCGUUAAAUCUUUCACAAGGUUGACCUCGGAUCAGGUAGGGAUACCCGCUGAACUUAAGCAUAUCAAUAAGCGGAGGA
This 326-nucleotide unclassified non-coding RNA is filed under the name soil metagenome. Its description in RNAcentral is "partial contains 5.8S ribosomal RNA, internal transcribed spacer 2, and large subunit ribosomal RNA". The stretch from base 1 to 120 matches the Rfam family "5.8S ribosomal RNA", at positions 35 to 154 of the family's 154-position model. The record is from RNAcentral.